This 915-nucleotide ribosomal RNA is filed under the name Lotharella globosa. Its description in RNAcentral is "partial Bacterial large subunit ribosomal RNA". It matches the Rfam family "Bacterial large subunit ribosomal RNA", at positions 1999 to 2925 of the family's 2925-position model. The record is from RNAcentral. Lineage: Eukaryota; Cercozoa; Chlorarachniophyceae.
GCGUAACGAUCUGGGCGCUGUCUCAACAAGAGACUCGGUGAAAUUGUAGUAGCAGUGUAGAUGCUGUUUACCCGCAAUCAGACGGAAAGACCCCGUGAACCUUUACUGUACUCUGAUAUGGGCUCUUGAUUUGUCAUGUGUAGGAUAACCGGGAGGCAUUGAUCCUGACGCGCUAGCGUUAGUGAAGUCAACCUUGAAAUACCGGUCUUGGCAAAUUGAGAAUCUAACGAAGCUCCGUGAAUCCGGAGUUCGGACAGUGUCAGACGGGCAGUUUUACUGGGGCGGUAUCCUCCUAAAGAGUAACGGAGGAGUCCAAAGCUUACCUCAUCGUGGUUGGCAAUCACGAGUAGAGCGCAAAAGUAUAAGGUAAGUUGACUGCGAGACGUACAUGUCAAGCAGGUACGAAAGUAGGGUUUAGUGAUCCGGCGGUGGAAAGUGGAAUCGCCGUCGCUCAACGGAUAAAAGGUACUCCGGGGAUAACAGGCUUAUCGCCACCAAGAGUUCAUAUCGACGUGGCGGUUUGGCACCUCGAUGUCGACUCAUCGCAUCCUGGGGCUGUAGAAGGUCCCAAGGGUUUGGCUGUUCGCCAAUUAAAGCGGUACGCGAGUUGGGUUCAAAACGUCGUGAGACAGUUUGGUCCCUAUCUGUUGUGGGCGUAGGAUACUUGAGAAGAGCUGCUUCUAGUACGAGAGGACCGAAGUGGACGAACCUAUGGUGUUCCGGUUGUACUGCCAAGUGCAUUGCCGGGUAGCUACGUUCGGAAAGGAUAAGCGUUGAAAGCAUCUAAACGCCAAGCCUCCUUCAAGAUUAGGUAUCCCAAUGAGACUCCCUGAAGAUCACAGGGUUGAUAGGCUGGGUGUGUAAGCACAGUAAUGUGUUCAGCUAACCAGUACUAAUAGGUCCAACGGCUUGAUC